Molecule: transfer RNA, 83 nt
Filed under: Clostridia bacterium
Lineage: Bacteria; Bacillati; Bacillota; Clostridia
Also listed under: 8 other names
Description: tRNA-Leu
Rfam family: tRNA
About the family: Transfer RNA (tRNA) molecules are approximately 80 nucleotides in length.
Source: RNAcentral
GCGCGACUGGCGGAAUUGGCAGACGCACUAGAUUUAGGUUCUAGCGGGAGACCGUGGGGGUUCAAGUCCCUCGUCGCGCACCA